RNAcentral lists this ribosomal RNA (377 nucleotides) under uncultured eukaryote. Its description in RNAcentral is "partial 18S ribosomal RNA". It matches the Rfam family "Eukaryotic small subunit ribosomal RNA", at positions 592 to 976 of the family's 1831-position model. The record is from RNAcentral.
CAAUAGCGUAUAUUUAAGUUGCUGCAGUUAAAAAGCUCGUAGUUGGAUUUCGGGUGGGAAUGGCCGGUCCGCCGUUUCGGUGUGCACUUGCUACGCCCACCUUGCUGCCGGGGACGUGCUCUUGAGUUCACGCUCGGGACACGGAGUCGGCGAGGUUACUUUGAGUAAAUUAGAGUGUUCAAAGCAGGCCUACGCUCUGAAUACAUUAGCAUGGAAUAACACGAUAGGACUCUGGCCUAUCUUGUUGGUCUGUAGGACCGGAGUAAUGAUUAAGAGGGACAGUCGGGGGCAUUCGUAGUUCAUUGUCAGAGGUGAAAUUCUUGGAUUUAUGAAAGACGAACUACUGCGAAAGCAUUUGCCAAGGAUGUUUUCAUUAA